AACGAUGGUGAAGAACAUAUUGA
Molecule: non-coding RNA, 23 nt
Filed under: Arabidopsis thaliana (thale cress)
Lineage: Eukaryota; Viridiplantae; Streptophyta; Magnoliopsida; Brassicales; Brassicaceae
Source: RNAcentral